AUGAACCCGGCAUAUGCCCCAGGCCCCGACGGCCUACCAGUCCGCUUCUUCCAGGCAUUCUGGCCUAUGGUCAAGGAUGUAAUCCUUGCCCUGAUCCUUGAGCUCUCUGAAGGAACUUUGGAUGUUUCUCGCUUGAACUACAAGAUCGUCUCCCUAAUCCCGAAGGUCCAAGGUGCUUCGGAUAUUAGACAGUUUCAUCCGAUCACGGUCCUCGACGUGAUCUUUCGAAUUCUGGCCAAGGGGUAUGCCACUAGGGUGGUCCGGAUCGCUCCUAGGGUUCACCAUCCGAACCAAACGGCCUUCACAAAAGGUCGCUAUAUUCUGGAUGGGAUCCUCGUUCUUCACGAGGUUAUCCAUGAAGUCAAAAGUAAACACCUACGAGCGGUGUUCUUCAAAAUUGACUUUCAUAAAGCAUACGACACAGUUCACUGGUCUUUCCUUCGGGAGGUGAUGAUGAAGCGGGGCUUCGAACCACAUUGGAUUGCCUGCAUAAUGCAGCUCUUCACAAGUGGACGCACGACAGUUAACAUUAAUGGAGAGGUCGGUCCCUACUUCCCUACGGGACAAGGUGUUUGA
RNAcentral lists this ribosomal RNA (576 nucleotides) under Triticum aestivum (bread wheat). RNAcentral's name for it is "partial small subunit ribosomal RNA". Lineage: Eukaryota; Viridiplantae; Streptophyta; Magnoliopsida; Poales; Poaceae. The record is from RNAcentral.